Molecule: ribosomal RNA, 443 nt
Filed under: uncultured bacterium
Lineage: Bacteria
Description: partial 16S ribosomal RNA
Rfam family: Bacterial small subunit ribosomal RNA
Source: RNAcentral
CCUACGGGUGGCAGCAGUGGGGAAUAUUGGGCAAUGGGCGCAAGCCUGACCCAGCAACGCCGCGUGAAGGAAGAAGGCUUUCGGGUUGUAAACUUCUUUUCUCAGGGACGAAGAAAGUGACGGUACCUGAGGAAUAAGCCACUGCUAACUACGUGCCAGCAGCCGCGGUAAUACGUAGGUGGCAAGCGUUAUCCGGAUUUACUGGGUGUAAGGGGCGUGUAGGCGGGAAAGCAAGUCAGAUGUGAAAACCAUGGGCUCAACCUGUGGCCUGCAUUUGAAACUGUUUUUCUUGAGUACUGGAGAGGCAGACGGAAUUCCUAGUGUAGCGGUGAAAUGCGUAGAUAUUAGGAGGAACACCAGUGGCGAAGGCGGUCUGCUGGACAGCAACUGACGCUGAGGCGCGAAAGCGUGGGGAGCAAACAGGAUUAGAUACCCGGGUAGUC